Molecule: ribosomal RNA, 505 nt
Filed under: uncultured bacterium
Lineage: Bacteria
Description: bacterial SSU rRNA
Rfam family: Bacterial small subunit ribosomal RNA
Source: RNAcentral
CUACGUGCCAGCAGCCGCGGUAAUACGGAAGGUCCAGGCGUUAUCCGGAUUUAUUGGGUUUAAAGGGAGCGUAGGCUGGAGAUUAAGUGUGCUGUGAAAUGUAGACGCUCAACGUCUGAAUUGCAGCGCAUACUGGUUUCCUUGAGUACGCACAACGUUGGCGGAAUUCGUCGUGUAGCGGUGAAAUGCUUAGAUAUGACGAAGAACUCCGAUUGCGAAGGCAGCUGACGGGAGCGCAACUGACGCUUAAGCUCGAAGGUGCGGGUAUCAAACAGGAUUAGAUACCCUGGUAGUCCGCACAGUAAACGAUGGAUGCCCGCUGUUGGUACCUGGUAUCAGCGGCUAAGCGAAAGCAUUAAGCAUCCCACCUGGGGAGUACGCCGGCAACGGUGAAACUCAAAGGAAUUGACGGGGGCCCGCACAAGCGGAGGAACAUGUGGUUUAAUUCGAUGAUACGCGAGGAACCUUACCCGGGCUUGAAUUGCAGAGGAAUUAUUUAGAGAUA